CAGAAACCACUUAAAAGAGGUAUUUUUGUCGUUACUAAUUAUGUUAGUAAAGUAUGGAUCCCCUUUAAGUAUGAAAACCUGCCAAUGUUCUGUUUUGGUUGUGGAAGAAUGGGGCAUGGGUUGAGUAAUUGCACUCAGAUAUCACCUGCAAGGAAAAUUAAAAUUAGUGAAAAUCCUCCUUAUUCGGUGGCAUUAAAAGCAGAAUCAAAAUUAAUUGGAAAAGAAAGUAUGUGUUUCAACUUUUUGAUGAAGCAGAAGAGGGUGCAAAGUUCUUAUACUGGAAGGGAAAGUCAGAAGCCCAAUGCUACAAUAUGUGUUGAGGAAGGAAUCACUGAGUUAGGGGGUUCACAGGAAAAUUUUAGAUUAAAGGAAGCGGGGGAGAUACUAAAAGAACAGAAUAGUACUUCAGGAUUAGGGGAAACUGAGAAGGUGUGUAAAAUUAUCAAAAAAAAGAGUCAAUUUUCAGACCAAGAGAAGAAUGCAGACGGGUUACGAACACAAGCUGGAGAAACAAUAAUAAAAAAUGAGAACUACACGAGGAAGAGGAAGUCCUUAGAUGGAGUUUUUAAUAGCUGUUUUAGAGAAAGUGUUGACAGAGAUGGAAUUAAAAGAAUNNNNNNNNNNNNNNNNNNNNNNNNNNNNNNNNNNNNNNNNNNNNNNNNNNNNNNNNNNNNNNNNNNNNNNNNNNNNNNNNNNNNNNNNNNNNNNNNNNNNAAGGUUCUUCAGUGAUGAUGACAGACAAUGGUAAGCAACUAGGGGUGCAAGAAUUAUUGAGAUCGGCGGCUGCCAACAGGCAAGCCGACCGGACGCAAUGAAAAUCGUAAGCUGGAAUGUUCAUGGAUUAGGGAGUCCACGAGCUGGAAGAAGACUGCGUUAUUUUCUAAAGCAGCACAAUCCCCAAGUGGUCUUCUUAAUGGAGACUAAAGUUGAUAAGCAAAAGAUGGAAAAAUUUAGACGAAGCUGCGGUUUUAUGAAUGGAAUUGAUGUUGAGGCUGAAGGCUCAAAAGGAGGUUUAUGCUUAGCUUGGAAAGGAGACUUGAUAGUCAGCUUACGGAGUUUCUCUAAAUCCCAUAUUGAUGUUUUGGUUAAAGAGGAGAAGGUCAAAGAAGAGUGGAGAUUUACAGGGUUCUAUGGAUCUCCCUAUAUUCAUAAUAAGAGUAAUUCAUGGGAACUUUUGAUGAAGUUGGGGCAAGAUAAGAACUAUCCUUGCCUGGUAAGCGGUGAUUUUAAUGAGAUUAUGUUUUCUUUUGAGAAAUGUGGGGGCGCCCCAAGGGAAGAAAGCAGAAUGCAAAUAUUUCGGGAGACAUUAGAAAACUGUCAGUUGGAGGUUUGGGGUUUUCAGGAGUAUGGUUUACAUGGGAAAGGGGAAAUUUACCAGAAACAAAUAUUAGAGAAAGACUUGAUAGGGGGUGAUAAAUGAUAAGUGGAGGAUCCUCUUUCCGGCAGGUAGGGUUAACCAUCUUUCUCACACAAUGUCGGAUCAUUGUCCAAUCUUUAUUACUACAGAUGGCGAUAAUAUUUACAAAGGCGAUUCAAAGUUUAAAUUUGAGGCGUGGUGGUUGAUGGAAGAGACGUGUGAAAUAACCAUCAGAAACUCUUGGGAGUCAGGAGUAGGUACAUUUAAAGAGAAACUUGGAAAACUACAAGCAGAUUUAUUAGUUUGGGCGAGAACAAUUAAAAAAGGAAGAGAAGGCUUAAAGAAAAAGUUAACAAAGCAGCUUGAUAUGUUAAUGGGGGAAGAAAGGAAUGAUAAUACGCUGGCAGAAAUUAUUGACACCAAGAUCCAUUUGAAUAUGGAAAUUGACAAAGACGAAAUUUAUUGGGAACAAAGGGCAAGGGCGAAUUGGCUUAAAGUAGGAGAUAAGAACUCAGCCUUUUUUCAUAGGUUUGCUACAUACCGCAGACGUAUUAAUUCAAUAUCCAGGUUGGAAAAAGAAGAGGGAGGAGAGGCUAAUGAAGAGAGUGAGAUUAAUGAAGUAGCUUCCUCCUAUUUUCAGGAGCUCUUUACGACAAAAGAAGAUGGGGACUGUUCAUAUCUCUUAUCGGGAGUUAAGAAAAGUAUUUCAACAGAUAUUAAUAAAGAUUUAUUGUCAGCUUUUACAGCAGACGAGUUAUACGCGGCACUCAAGGGAAUGGGACCUACAAAAGCUCCAGGACCUAACGGUUUCCCAGCUAUUUUCUUUCAGAAAUUCUGGCAUAUAGUAGGUGAGGAAACAUCUAAAUUCUGUCUAGAUAUCUUAAAUAAUGGUGCUACUUUCGGUAAUUUUAAUCAUACGGAUAUUGUGCUGAUCCCAAAAAUUCUAAAUCCCUCAAGCAUUGUUAACUUUAGACCCAUUAGCUUAUGCUCGGUGAUCUACAAAAUGGUCGCAAAAACAAUUGCCAACCGACUUCAAGUAGUUAUUGGAAGAUGUAUUGAUGCGACUCAAAGCGCGUUUGUUCCGGGAAGGUUAAUAACUGAUAAUGUGCUUCUAGCUUAUGAGAUCUUGCAUACUUUUCGACAGAAGCGCAGAGGGAAAAAGGGAUAUAUGGCGGUUAAAGUUGAUAUGAGCAAAGCUUAUGAUAGGGUUGAGUGGGGAUAUCUGAAGUAAGUAAUGUUACGAAUGGGUUUCGUAUCAGAAUGGGUUAGGUUGGUUAUGAAUUGUGUUUCCACAACAUCUUAUGCAGUUAAUAUCAAUGGAAGAAGUGGAAGAACCUUUUCACCGUCUAGAGGUUUGCGUCAAGGGGACCCUUUGAGCCCUUUUCUUUUUCUGAUUUGCAGUGAGGGAUUAUCAUCUUUGAUGAGAAUGGCUUCGGUGGCCGGAAAACUAAAAGGUGCAAAAGCCAGCAGAAGAGGACCAGAAAUUUCACACUUGCUUUUUGCUGAUGAUUGUAUUUUGUUCGGUGAAGCAUCAGAUAGGGGUGCUAGGGUACUAAAGGAUAUUUUGGAAAUAUAUGGAAAGUGUUCUGGGCAAUGUGUUAACUUUAAUAAGUCUACAAUAUUUUUUAGUACGAAUACAUCUGAUGAGAAGAAGAAAGAAGUAUCAGCAAAGUUGGGGAUUAGGACCUCUAAAAACUUAGAACGAUAUUUGGGGCUUCCAAACAUGGUUGGGCGUAGCAAGAAGGAAUAUUUUCAGUAGUUAAAAGAGAAGAUUGUUACUCGGAUUGAUGGGUGGAGUACUAGAUUAUUAUCCCAAGAAGUUUUUAUCAAAUCAGUGUUACAAGCCAUUCCAACCUAUGCUAUGUCGUGUUUUUUACUACCAAAGACUCUUUGUGGGGAAUUUGAAAAUAUAUUUGCUAAGUUUUGGUGGCAAAAAGCACAUAGAAGAAGAGGUGUCCACUGGUGUCAGUGGAAAUAUCUAUGUCGUCCUAAAGAUGAGGGUGGUUUGGGUUUCAGAAAUAUGGCUCAAUUUAAUAUCUCCCUUCUAGCUAAACAGGGGUGGCGCAUUUUGAAUAACCCGGAUUCUCUAGUUGCAAAAGUUUUAAAAGUAAAGUAUUUUCCAAAUGUUGAUUUUUUAGAUUCCCAUUUGGGGAAUAAUGCUUCAUAUACAUGGAAGAGUAUUUGGGCUACUAAGGGUGUCUUAGCUAAGGGAUUAUGCUGGAGGGUGGGUAAAGGUACAAAUAUCUCGAUUAAUCAUGAUUAUUGGAUUCUAGGUUUAUCGCGAGAUGAAUUACCAGCUUUAACUUCGAAUUUUAAUGUUAGUAAAGUUGCGAAUUUAAUUGAAUCAAGCAGUAGAACAUGGAAACAAGAGUUGAUAGAGUAUACCUUUCCGGAGGAUGUUGCCGAGAAGAUUCUUAGUAUUCUGCUAGCAGAAAAACCACACGAUGAUUUCCAAGUCUGGAGCGCUGAAGCGUCGGGUGAGUUCACAGUCAGGAGUGCCUAUAAACUAUUACAAAACACUGAAAAUAAUCCUAGAGCUUAUGUUUUACAAGAUGACUAUAAGGACUUCUACAGGAAGCUAUGGCUUCUUGAUCUUCCUUCAAAAAUAAAAAUUACAGUUUGGAAGAUCUUUUGGAAUUUCCUAGCAACUCGAGUUAAUAUGCUUCUUAGAAGACUAACAAACUUUUCAAUGUGUCCUCGGUGUGGAUCUGUAUCUGAAUCUAUGGAUCACCUUUUUCGUGAAUGCCCUGUUACAAUUUCAGUGUGGAAAGAGUUAUCAUUUUAUAAGUAUAUGCAAGAAAAUCAGUUGGGGUUUCUUCAGUGGUUAAUCUGGGUUUUUAAACAAAGCUCGGUAUUUCAGUAUCGGACCUUCUGUGUUGCUGUAUGGGCCAUCUGGGGUGAUAGGAAUAACAGACUGCAUAAUAAAGGGAGUAAAUCUGGAAAAGACAUAGGAAGAUUUGUUAACAGAUACAUUUCAGAGUUAGAAUUGGUUG
RNAcentral lists this long non-coding RNA (4350 nucleotides) under Gossypium raimondii (Peruvian cotton). RNAcentral's name for it is "long non-coding RNA (GRAI_LNC008908)". The record is from RNAcentral. Lineage: Eukaryota; Viridiplantae; Streptophyta; Magnoliopsida; Malvales; Malvaceae.